UGGAUCCCCCAAACCCAGACUUCUUUUCUUCCAAUUUAUAGUCCGUUUAUUGUUCUUCCUUGCAGAGGGUGUGCUUACACUGAAUGGAAGUCCUUGUACGAGAUGAAUGGGACCAUUUUUUUCCAUACACUGGAUGAUCCUCAUGUUGAAAGGGGGCCUCCCCUGCCCUCCCCCGCCCCCAGUAUUCAAUACUAUGUCGGCUUUUCUUUUUGGCUGGUACAUUCUGAUCCCUUAUCCCGAGCUUUCUCAACUCCCCCACUCUUGUUGGCCAAAGUUUCAAUCAGCUUCCUGCAUCUAAAGAGCAGCCACUUACACCGACUCUUGAAUCAGCAAUGUUUCCAUCCUAGAUCGCUUCCGCCAUCCUGCCGCUCCCCCCGAAUCUGGGAUGCAGGCUCAGCCGCCCAUCCCACGUUAAGCAAAUUACCAGAGUUUGGUGGUUUUUAGUAGAGUUCUGGAGGUUUCUUACAGCCUUAUUAUAGUGAAUUAACAACCCACAGACAGUGAUUAAAACCCACUUAUAACAAGCUUGCAAGUUAUUCUGUGCAAAAGGCAAUAAAAUCACAGUCAUUUGCUUUCCGAUGCAAAAAAAAGAGGGGGCGCCAAGGAAAUACAGUCACAUUAAAACUCUUGUUUUCCCUACA
Molecule: long non-coding RNA, 641 nt
Filed under: Podarcis lilfordi (Lilford's wall lizard)
Lineage: Eukaryota; Metazoa; Chordata; Lepidosauria; Squamata; Lacertidae
Source: RNAcentral